GACGAACGCUGGCGGCGUGCUUAACACAUGCAAGUCGAACGAAAAGAGGGAAAGAGCUUGCUCUUUCCGGAAUUGAGUGGCAAACGGGUGAAUAACACGUAAACAACCUGCCAACCGGACGGUGACAACAGACGGGAACGACUACUAAUAGCGAAAUAGUUCCAAAAGCCGCAUAGCCCAUUGAAGAAAAGGUGGCCUCUACCUGUAAGCUAUCUGCUCAAGAGGGGGUUGCGACUGAUUAGCUGGUUGGAGGGGUACCGGCCCACCAAGAGGACGAUCAGUAGCCGGUCUGCGAGGAUGAGAGGCCAAACUGGAACGGAGACACGGUCCAGAACACUACGGGAGGCAGCAGGGGGGAAUCUUCAGCGAUGGGAGAAAGCCUGAAGGAGCAACGCCGGGGGAGUGAUGAAUGCCGUCGGGUUGUAAGACUCUGUGAGCCGGGAGGAAAAGGCAGUGUGCGAAGAACAAACUGCAUUGACGGUACCAGAGAAGAAAGCCACGGCUAAAUACGUG
RNAcentral lists this ribosomal RNA (513 nucleotides) under uncultured bacterium. RNAcentral's name for it is "partial 16S ribosomal RNA". It matches the Rfam family "Bacterial small subunit ribosomal RNA", at positions 28 to 507 of the family's 1533-position model. The record is from RNAcentral.